AACAGGAUUAGAUACCCUGGUAGUCCACGCCGUAAACGAUGUCGACUUGGAGGUUGUUCCCUUGAGGAGUGGCUUCCGGAGCUAACGCGUUAAGUCGACCGCCUGGGGAGUACGGCCGCAAGGUUAAAACUCAAAUGAAUUGACGGGGGCCCGCACAAGCGGUGGAGCAUGUGGUUUAAUUCGAUGCAACGCGAAGAACCUUACCUACUCUUGACAUCCAGAGAACUUAGCAGAGAUGCUUUGGUGCCUUCGGGAACUCUGAGACAGGUGCUGCAUGGCUGUCGUCAGCUCGUGUUGUGAAAUGUUGGGUUAAGUCCCGCAACGAGCGCAACCCUUAUCCUUUGUUGCCAGCGAUUCGGUCGGGAACUCAAAGGAGACUGCCGGUGAUAAACCGGAGGAAGGUGGGGAUGACGUCAAGUCAUCAUGGCCCUUACGAGUAGGGCUACACACGUGCUACAAUGGCGCAUACAAAGAGAAGCGACCUCGCGAGAGCAAGCGGACCUCAUAAAGUGCGUCGUAGUCCGGAUCGGAGUCUGCAACUCGACUCCGUGAAGUCGGAAUCGCUAGUAAUCGUGGAUCAGAAUGCCACGGUGAAUACGUUCCCGGGCCUUGUACACACCGCCCGUCACACCAUGGGAGUUGGAUUCACCCGAAGGCGUUGCGCCAACCC
RNAcentral lists this ribosomal RNA (670 nucleotides) under uncultured bacterium. Its description in RNAcentral is "bacterial SSU rRNA". It matches the Rfam family "Bacterial small subunit ribosomal RNA", at positions 771 to 1441 of the family's 1533-position model. The record is from RNAcentral.